This is a long non-coding RNA of Lagopus muta (rock ptarmigan), 1241 nucleotides long. RefSeq lists it as uncharacterized. The transcript has 3 exons. NCBI's taxonomy places the organism in Eukaryota, Metazoa, Chordata, Aves, Galliformes, Phasianidae. The record is from RefSeq and is a predicted model, not a curated record.
CGUUUGGUUUGCCCGAUUAAUUUAGCAAACGGAACUCCUGUAAACCCGCACAACGUGCGCCUGCACACAGCCGCGGGCGCCCUGCGCUCCCAGGGAGAACCCAGCGCUGUAACAAAGCUUUUUGGGGGAAAGCGUUUCUGAGUGAAGUUCCGUUUUCUGUCGGGCGCACAGACGGCACGAGGCGAGGCUGCCCUGCGGGAGGAGCGCCUUCAUUUCCGUGCGCGAGCAAAGCGACCGCUGCCGUCGAUGCUCCUGGAGGAGCAUCUCAGCCCACAGUAUGGAAGAGUAAAGCACUGGAAGAAGAAUGAAUCCCGUGAUUGUGCCCCUGGAGGGGCUGCACUGGGGCUGUUGGCCGGACCCCUCCUUUGUGGAGCUGGGUCCCCCUGUGAGGAUUGAGUGCAGAGACAGAUUCGUGUAUGGAUUGCCUUCCUUCCGAUUCCAUUAAGGAGGGCGAAGCGGGGCCCGGCGCGGCCGUGGCGGAGCAUCCAGGUCCUGGCAGGGCAGCCCAACGCCUGCAGCAGGUUUGUGCCACGCAGGGUUUCUGCUCCUCACCUUUGCUGCAUGCCUGCAGUGGGAAAUGUGGCAGGCAGACCUGACAACUGCAGUGACCAAAAAUGUUUGACUCGCUGUUUCUCAUUCGUCAUGAGGAAAAAGAGCUGGGACUCAUUCACAGAAAUAGGGGAAUGCCUUCAGAGGUGUGCCAUAGGGAAAGCCAAGAUUUGUGGCACAGCUGGCAGCUGGAAGCUUCUCAGUGUCUGCAGUUGGGAGCACUCAUCUUCAGGCAGGCGGUGAGAAGGCAGGUUAGAUCUCAUGCAGGAGAGCACUGCGGUCUCAGAUGGUGCCUCUCAGCAGCGUGCUGUGUGCUGUGGGACUGAUCCUGCCGCUGCCAGCCACUGUCCUCAGCUCCCAGUGGUGAAAAUAGGUGGAGAAACUCAGAGAUAUGGAGCUGACGGGAGAGCUGGUGGAGGUGCAGCUGAGCAAUGCUGAGCAGUUUUUAUCUGCAAGUUAAAGAAAAUUGAAUUCCAUGGUACCAAACACAGCACGGCAGCGUACACUGGAAGAUGUCUGUCCCAGAUGCAGGUGGAAAGGGUUUUUUUUUCCCUCAUCAAUUCAUCAGCUGCACUGAGAACGUGCUUUUGAGUUGAUUGUUAUUUAUAUUGAUGUUAUGAUUUAUUAUAGGCAGUAAACUGAAAAUCAAACGACGUCUUAUUUGAGCUAUGUAAGACUUUUCAAAUCUGUAC